UGAUGGGUACCGGGCGUGAGAGCGUGGCCCGGCUCAAUGUGACUGACACACUGCCCUCACCUACGGCUGGCUGCAGUCAAAAAUCUUCAGGAAUGGACGCAAGUCUCACCGAUCGCCCGCAUGAGGAAUGAAUGCCUUCUGGUUGCAGACCGCUUGCGGAAGGGAUGAAAUGCGAGGGUUAUCCCUCUUGUUUGACAGAUCCUCACAGGAAGUACGGGCUAACUUCGUGCCCAGCCGCGGUAAGACGAACCGUACAAACGUUAUUCGGAAUUACUGGGCUUACAGGGUGUAGGCCGUGUGGAAAGUUGGGUGUGAAAUCCCUCGGCUCAACCGAAGAACUGCGCUCAACUGCCAUGCUACAGGGAGACAGAUGUGAGCGGAACUUAUGGUGGAGCGGUGAAAUGCUGAUAUCUUAAGGAACACCGGUGGCAAACGCGGCUCACUGGGUCUCUUCUGACGCUGACACGAUAGCUAGGGUAGCGAACGGGAUUAGAUACCCCGGUAGUCCUAGCUGUAAACGAAGCACUUGGUCGGAGAGCCUUCCAUAGCUUUCCGGCCGUAGCGAAAGUGUUAAGUGCUGUCUGGGGAGUAUGGUCGCAAGGCUGAAAGUCAAAGGAAUCGACGGUGGCUCUCACAAGGUGGAGGAUGUCGCUUCAUUCGAGGGUGCGCGAAGAACAUUAUGCUGGUCUUGACAGCUGGAUUAAGUCUGUGCAAGCAGAUCCUCGCCUUCGGGUGGAACAUGCACAGUUGGGGUGUCUGUGGUCAGCUAGUGUCGUGAGAAGUUGGGUUAAGUCCAUGAUCGAGUGAAUCCUGUCACUAGCAGCCAGCGAGUCAUGUCGGGGACUUCAGUGAGACUUCCCGUGUCUAUCGAGGAAGGUGGGGAAGACGUCAAGUCCUCCUGGCCUUUAUGAUCAGGGCUGCACACCUUACAAAGGCAGGUACCAAGGGACGGGAACUCGGGAGAGUAAGCAAAUCCCACAAAGCGCCCCAGUUCGGAUUGCAGUCUGCAACUCGCCUGCAUGAAGCCGGAAUCGCUAGUAAUCGGGUCAGCAUUCCGCGGUGAAUACGUUCCUGAGCCUUG
This 1081-nucleotide ribosomal RNA is filed under the name uncultured bacterium. Its description in RNAcentral is "bacterial SSU rRNA". It matches the Rfam family "Bacterial small subunit ribosomal RNA", at positions 277 to 1383 of the family's 1533-position model. The record is from RNAcentral.